GCCCCGCGCGCCCCGCGCCCGCCGCCGCGCACACCCCGCCCGCCAAGCGCACGCGCCGCUCAAUUAUAAUGCGAUGACGUGGCGAGAGUGUCGGCGGAGUGAUGUCCGUCACGUGGCGCGCCUCCGACACGGACAGCGCCUCGCCGCGACCGGGAGCUUUACUGUACAGCACGAACUGUAGCAAGAACUGUAGCUCGUUAUAUUUUUGAUAUAUUUUUUGUAUGAUUUUUAUACUUUGUUUUUGUUAAGAAUUAAGAAAGUUUAUACUGAAUAAAGACUGCAAGCCUUGAGCA
This is a long non-coding RNA of Manduca sexta (tobacco hornworm), 293 nucleotides long. RefSeq lists it as uncharacterized. The record is from RefSeq and is a predicted model, not a curated record. Lineage: Eukaryota; Metazoa; Arthropoda; Insecta; Lepidoptera; Sphingidae. The transcript is spliced from 2 exons.